This 301-nucleotide ribosomal RNA is filed under the name uncultured bacterium. Its description in RNAcentral is "partial 16S ribosomal RNA". It matches the Rfam family "Bacterial small subunit ribosomal RNA", at positions 509 to 809 of the family's 1533-position model. The record is from RNAcentral.
CAGCCGCCGCGGUAAUACGGAGGGUGCAAGCGUUAUCCGGAUUUAUUGGGUUUAAAGGGUCCGUAGGCGGAUCUGUAAGUCAGUGGUGAAAUCUCACAGCUUAACUGUGAAACUGCCAUUGAUACUGCAGGUCUUGAGUAAAUUUGAAGUGGCUGGAAUAAGUAGUGUAGCGGUGAAAUGCAUAGAUAUUACUUAGAACACCAAUUGCGAAGGCAGGUCACUAAGAUUUAACUGACGCUGAUGGACGAAAGCGUGGGGAGCGAACAGGAUUAGAGACCCCCGUAGUCCCUGUCUCUUAUAA